GACGAACCGAGCGAACGUUGUUCGGAAUCACUGGGCUUAAAGGGCGCGUAGGCGGGUCGCCAAGUCUGUGGUGAAAUCCUUCGGCUUAACCGAAGAACUGCCGUGGAUACUGGCGACCUUGAGGGAGGUAGGGGCAUGCGGAACUAUGGGUGGAGCGGUGAAAUGCGUUGAUAUCCAUAGGAACUCCGGUGGCGAAGGCGGCAUGCUGGCCCUCUUCUGACGCUGAGGCGCGAAAGCCAGGGGAGCAAACGGG
This 253-nucleotide ribosomal RNA is filed under the name uncultured bacterium. RNAcentral's name for it is "partial 16S ribosomal RNA". It matches the Rfam family "Bacterial small subunit ribosomal RNA", at positions 524 to 776 of the family's 1533-position model. The record is from RNAcentral.